UGGGGAAUAUUGGGCAAUGGGGGAAACCCUGACCCAGCAACGCCGCGUGAAGGAAGAAGGCCUUCGGGUUGUAAACUUCUUUUACCAGGGACGAAGGACGUGACGGUACCUGGAGAAAAAGCAACGGCUAACUACGUGCCAGCAGCCGCGGUAAUACGUAGGUUGCAAGCGUUGUCCGGAUUUACUGGGUGUAAAGGGCGUGUAGGCGGAGCUGCAAGUCAGAUGUGAAAUCCCGGGGCUCAACCCCGGAACUGCAUUUGAAACUGUAGCCCUUGAGUAUCGGAGAGGCAAGCGGAAUUCCUAGUGUAGCGGUGAAAUGCGUAGAUAUUAGGAGGAACACCAGUGGCGAAGGCGGCUUGCUGGACGACAACUGACGCUGAGGCGCGAAAGCGUGGGGAGCAAACA
RNAcentral lists this ribosomal RNA (405 nucleotides) under uncultured bacterium. RNAcentral's name for it is "bacterial SSU rRNA". It matches the Rfam family "Bacterial small subunit ribosomal RNA", at positions 355 to 774 of the family's 1533-position model. The record is from RNAcentral.